Molecule: ribosomal RNA, 790 nt
Filed under: uncultured beta proteobacterium
Lineage: Bacteria; Pseudomonadati; Pseudomonadota; Betaproteobacteria
Description: bacterial SSU rRNA
Rfam family: Bacterial small subunit ribosomal RNA
Source: RNAcentral
CAUGCAAGUCGAACGGUAACAGGUCUUCGGAUGCUGACGAGUGGCGAACGGGUGAGUAAUGCAUCGGAACGUGCCCAGUCGUGGGGGAUAACGCAGCGAAAGCUGUGCUAAUACCGCAUACGAUCUAUGGAUGAAAGCGGGGGACCGUAAGGCCUCGCGCGAUUGGAGCGGCCGAUGUCAGAUUAGCUAGUUGGUGGGGUAAAGGCCCACCAAGGCGACGAUCUGUAGCUGGUCUGAGAGGACGACCAGCCACACUGGGACUGAGACACGGCCCAGACUCCUACGGGAGGCAGCAGUGGGGAAUUUUGGACAAUGGGCGCAAGCCUGAUCCAGCAAUGCCGCGUGCAGGAAGAAGGCCUUCGGGUUGUAAACUGCUUUUGUACGGAACGAAAAGGUUCGGGUUAAUACCCUGGGCUCAUGACGGUACCGUAAGAAUAAGCACCGGCUAACUACGUGCCAGCAGCCGCGGUAAUACGUAGGGUGCAAGCGUUAAUCGGAAUUACUGGGCGUAAAGCGUGCGCAGGCGGUUUUGUAAGACAGGCGUGAAAUCCCCGGGCUCAACCUGGGAAUGGCGCUUGUGACUGCAAAGCUGGAGUGCGGCAGAGGGGGAUGGAAUUCCGCGUGUAGCAGUGAAAUGCGUAGAUAUGCGGAGGAACACCAAUGGCGAAGGCAAUCCCCUGGGCCUGCACUGACGCUCAUGCACGAAAGCGUGGGGAGCAAACAGGAUUAGAUACCCUGGUAGUCCACGCCCUAAACGAUGUCAACUGGUUGUUGGUCCUUAGCUGGAUCA